UACGAAGGGGGCUAGCGUUGCUCGGAAUGACUGGGCGUAAAGGGCGCGUAGGCGGUUUGUACAGUCAGGUGUGAAAUUCCCGGGCUCAACCUGGGGGCUGCACUUGAUACGUAUGGACUGGAGUGGGGAAGAGGGUCGUGGAAUUCCCAGUGUAGAGGUGAAAUUCGUAGAUAUUGGGAAGAACACCGGUGGCGAAGGCGGC
This 202-nucleotide ribosomal RNA is filed under the name uncultured bacterium. RNAcentral describes it as "partial 16S ribosomal RNA". It matches the Rfam family "Bacterial small subunit ribosomal RNA", at positions 524 to 725 of the family's 1533-position model. The record is from RNAcentral.